This 354-nucleotide ribosomal RNA is filed under the name Cherax depressus. Its description in RNAcentral is "partial 12S ribosomal RNA". Lineage: Eukaryota; Metazoa; Arthropoda; Malacostraca; Decapoda; Parastacidae. The record is from RNAcentral.
ACUUGAAUACUAAUAGUUAUAGGCUUUAAAUUCAAAGAAUUUGGCGGUAUUUUAGUCUUGUUAGAGGAACCUGUUCUGUAAAUGAUACUACACGAAGAAUCUUACUUACUUUUGUUUUUCAGCUUGUAUACCGUCAUUAUUAGAUAACCUUUAUUGGGGGAGUUAUUAAGGUACAAUAAAUUAAAUAUAUUAGAUCAAGGUGCAGCUAAUAGGUGAGAAGAAAUGGGUUACAAUAAAAUUUAUUUAAACGUAUUGAUAGUUGAAUAUAUUAUCAUGAAGGAGGAUUUAAUUGUAAUGGAAAUUUAAUAAGUUAAUAUGAUAUGAGAACUAAAAUAUGUACAUAUCGCCCGUCGC